RNAcentral lists this non-coding RNA (160 nucleotides) under Actinomycetes bacterium. RNAcentral describes it as "Actinobacteria bacterium 6S RNA". It matches the Rfam family "6S / SsrS RNA". Rfam says of the family: E. coli 6S RNA was the first non coding RNA to be sequenced, but its function was unknown until recently. It consists of 184 nucleotides that fold into an extended hairpin structure with a large single-stranded internal bulge. The record is from RNAcentral. Lineage: Bacteria; Bacillati; Actinomycetota; Actinomycetes.
CGCGCCCGACUCCGUGCGUGGCUUCGACCGCAUAUGUAGAACCAACAGCUACUGAGAGGGAGUCCGGGUCCGGCGAAGGUCGUCGACCGAAGCCGGCAGGACACCCACCUGGUUCGCCAGGUUCCUCACGGUCGAGGUUGCACGGCGGAGUGGGGCGCGU